This 253-nucleotide ribosomal RNA is filed under the name uncultured bacterium. RNAcentral's name for it is "partial 16S ribosomal RNA". It matches the Rfam family "Bacterial small subunit ribosomal RNA", at positions 524 to 776 of the family's 1533-position model. The record is from RNAcentral.
UACAGAGGUCUCAAGCGUUGUUCGGAUUCAUUGGGCUUAAAGGGUGCGUAGGCGGCGCGGUAAGUCGGGUGUGAAAUCUUGGAGCUUAACUCCGAAACUGCAUUCGAUACUGCCGUGCUUGAGGACUGGAGAGGAGACUGGAAUUUACGGUGUAGCGGUGAAAUGCGUAGAUAUCGUAAGGAAGACCAGUGGCGAAGGCGGGUCUCUGGACAGUUCCUGACGCUGAGGCACGAAGGCCAGGGGAGCAAACGGG